ACUUCUUUUUAUUUAUUUCAAAAUUCUGAUUUGAGCAUUGAAGGGUAUCCGUCGGAGCCAACUUCGAUCAGAGACUUAUCUUAUAGGUUCUACCACUGCCGUCCUCCCGUCGCCGACCUAUGGUCGUUGAUCAACUCCAGCCAAGAUAUAUUUCUGCAGCAAUAGUUGUGUUUCAACAUUAAGUAAUAGUUCGUUGUUGCUUAGCUAAAGUGUAGAAAAACAUGCAUAAAAAAUUCAUAGAGGGGAUAUGCUAACUCACAAUUCUUUUUGUUGGUUGCAUCAGAUGAAAGGUCAUAGGCAUGUAGAGUUUGCAAACAUUGAGAG
Molecule: long non-coding RNA, 324 nt
Filed under: Elaeis guineensis (African oil palm)
Lineage: Eukaryota; Viridiplantae; Streptophyta; Magnoliopsida; Arecales; Arecaceae
Description: long non-coding RNA (EGUI_LNC046244)
Source: RNAcentral